This is a non-coding RNA of Notechis scutatus (mainland tiger snake), 101 nucleotides long. The record is from RefSeq and is a predicted model, not a curated record. Lineage: Eukaryota; Metazoa; Chordata; Lepidosauria; Squamata; Elapidae.
UGCUGAAAUGACUUUCAUUGGAUGGUGAUCCCAUGAUCCUGGAACACUGGAGCCGUCAGAAAUAGGAGUUGGUUGCCAAGUAUCUGAAAGUUGAUCAUGUG